UGGGGAAUAUUGGACAAUGGGCGAAAGCCUGACCCAGCAAUGCCGCGUAAGUGAAGAAGGCCUUCGGGUUGUAAAGCUCUUUUGCCCGGGAAGAUAAUGACUGUACCGGGAGAAUAAGCCCCGGCUAACUCCGUGCCAGCAGCCGCGGUAAUACGUAGGUGGCAAGCGUUGUCCGGAUUUACUGGGCGUAAAGGGCGUGCAGGCGGUUUGUUUAGUCUAGGGUGAAAGCUCCCGGCUUAACUGGGAGAGGUCCUUGGAUACUGGCAAACUUGAGGGAGGCAGAGGAAAGUGGAAUUCCCGGUGUAGUGGUGAUAUGCGUAGAUAUCGGGAGGAACACCAGUGGCGAAGGCGGCUUUCUGGGCCUUACCUGACGCUGAGACGCGAAAGCGUGGGGAGCGA
Molecule: ribosomal RNA, 399 nt
Filed under: uncultured bacterium
Lineage: Bacteria
Description: bacterial SSU rRNA
Rfam family: Bacterial small subunit ribosomal RNA
Source: RNAcentral